This 153-nucleotide small nucleolar RNA is filed under the name Ogataea parapolymorpha DL-1. Lineage: Eukaryota; Fungi; Ascomycota; Pichiomycetes; Pichiales; Pichiaceae. The record is from RNAcentral.
UCAAUUACAUAUAUUUAACUUUCGGAUUACCAGCGAUACUAGCGUGCUUCAAUCUAGAUAUUGCAAAAAUGGCCGAAAGAAGACAAAAUACCACUUAAUAAUUCAACAUCGAUCUUUGCAGUGUCUUUGUUGAUUCGCUUAGUGGAAACAAAU